Molecule: long non-coding RNA, 601 nt
Organism: Eubalaena glacialis (North Atlantic right whale)
Lineage: Eukaryota; Metazoa; Chordata; Mammalia; Artiodactyla; Balaenidae
Exons: 3
Source: RefSeq, a predicted model, not a curated record
CUCAUCUAGAGAUGGUGGAAUGGACUGGUUUUCGGUGAAAUUCCGCUCGGUCUCACAUUCAGCCUGUCUAGGCCCCGCCUCUAUAACGGCCUGGCAUAGGUCGCGCCCGCCGUGGCUCGGCGACGCACGUGGAGACUCCAGGACUGCAGUCGGCGUAGGUGACCUGCGUGUGUGCCUCGGGCCGGGCGGGGCCUUUUAUCCUCGGCAAACCGAGUGUCAUUUUUCAGUGCUGGUUGGAGCAUUGGAGAAAAUAUAUUCUUACCCAAUCAUUUCAUAAGUAUGGACAAAAGACCUAACGGAGGAGUUAGCAGCUGCAGCGCUAUCAUUGUUGCGUGUUACUACUACCAGGCUCUUUGAUAAUCGCUUGGUACUAAUUCUCACACUAUUUUUGUAAGGGACUUCGCUGGCGGUCCAAUGGUUAAGACUCUGCGCUUCCACUGCAGGGGGCAUGGGUUUGUUCCCUGGUCGGGGAACUAAGAUGCUGCAUGCUGCUCGGCGUGGCCAAAAGAAAAGUGAAGAAAUCAAGAUUUGGCCAAGAUCACAUAACUAGGUGGUGGGGAGUUGGAACCCACUAUGACUGAACUCCAAAUUAAUACAGUGU